Molecule: ribosomal RNA, 817 nt
Filed under: human gut metagenome
Description: bacterial SSU rRNA
Rfam family: Bacterial small subunit ribosomal RNA
Source: RNAcentral
AGAGUUUGAUCCUGGCUCAGGAUGAACGCUAGCUACAGGCUUAACACAUGCAAGUCGAGGGGCAGCGGGGAGGAAGCUUGCUUUCUCUGCCGGCGACCGGCGCACGGGUGAGUAACGCGUAUCGAACCUGCCUCAUACUCGGGAAUAGCCUUGCGAAAGUAAGAUUAAUGCCCGAUGUUUUCAGUGGUCCGCAUGAACUGUUGAACAAAGAUUUAUCGGUAUGAGAUGGCGAUGCGUCCCAUUAGCUUGUUGGCGGGGUAACAGCCCACCAAGGCAUCGAUGGGUAGGGGUUCUGAGAGGAAGGUCCCCCACAUUGGAACUGAGACACGGUCCAAACUCCUACGGGAGGCAGCAGUGAGGAAUAUUGGUCAAUGGACGCAAGUCUGAACCAGCCAAGUAGCGUGCAGGACGACGGCCCUCCGGGUUGUAAACUGCUUUUAGUUGGGAAUAAAGUGCAGCUCGUGAGCUGUUUUGUAUGUACCAUCAGAAAAAGGACCGGCUAAUUCCGUGCCAGCAGCCGCGGUAAUACGGAAGGUCCAGGCGUUAUCCGGAUUUAUUGGGUUUAAAGGGAGCGCAGGCGGACUCUUAAGUCAGUUGUGAAAUACGGCGGCUCAACCGUCGGACUGCAGUUGAUACUGGGAGUCUUGAGUGCACACAGGGAUGCUGGAAUUCAUGGUGUAGCGGUGAAAUGCUCAGAUAUCAUGAAGAACUCCGAUCGCGAAGGCAGGUAUCCGGGGUGCAACUGACGCUGAGGCUCGAAAGUGCGGGUAUCAAACAGGAUUAGAUACCCUGGUAGUCCGCACAGUAAACGAUGAAU